CUUGGUCAUUUAGAGGAAGUAAAAGUCGUAACAAGGUUUUCCUUCCAGUUAAAGCUAUUAACUUAUUGAAGCCUGACGUGGGCGACUAUAAAUAUAACCAUGAAGUUCGGUCUUUAACAGACUGGACAACACCGCUGAAAUGCUGUGAUCAACUAUUGUUGUACCAGCAGCCCUCUUAUAGGGCCCACAGAUCAAGCCGCGGUGAUCCUACCUAGAGUAUUUAAGUAGGACUAUAAUAUGACCGGUCUCACCUGAGAUGGUUGAGAGAACACGUUCCGUAGGUGAACCUGCGGAAGGAUCAUUACCGAGUUAGGGUCUUAUAGGCCCGACCUCCAACCCUUUGUUUACUACACCAUGUUGCUUUGGCGGGCCCGCCUUUUGGGGCCGCCGGGGGUUUACAAGCCCCUGGUCAGUGUCCGCCAGUAGCCUUAUUAAAUUCUUUUAUAAUUAUGUUGUCUGAGUAUAAAUAUAAAUCGUUAAAACUUUCAACAACGGAUCUCUUGGUUCUGGCAUCGAUGAAGAACGCAGCGAAAUGCGAUAAGUAAUGCGAAUUGCAGAAUUCAGUGAGUCAUCGAAUCUUUGAACGCAUAUUGCGCCCUUUGGCAUUCCGAAGGGCAUGCCUGUUCGAGCGUCAUUAUCAACCAUCAAGCCUGGCUUGUCGUUGGACCUCUUUACCGCUGAAAUAUGUGGUAGGUCCGAAAGAUAAUGACGGCGUCGUGUUUGACCCUAGAUGCAACGAGCUUUUUAUAGCACGCAUUGAAGUGGUCGGCCGACCCGGUCUUUAACCAUUAUUUUCUAAGGUUGACCUCGGAUCAGGUAGGAAUACCCGCUGAACUUAAGCAUAUCAAUAAGCGGAGGA
Molecule: ribosomal RNA, 859 nt
Filed under: uncultured Verrucariales
Lineage: Eukaryota; Fungi; Ascomycota; Eurotiomycetes; Verrucariales
Description: eukaryotic LSU rRNA
Rfam family: 5.8S ribosomal RNA (bases 481-634)
Source: RNAcentral